This is an RNA transcript of Numida meleagris (helmeted guineafowl), 5423 nucleotides long. It is a transcript of the gene named mitochondrial ribosomal protein L22, with no coding region annotated. The transcript has 10 exons. The record is from RefSeq and is a predicted model, not a curated record. Lineage: Eukaryota; Metazoa; Chordata; Aves; Galliformes; Numididae.
CUUCGAUACGCAUGCGCCAGGAGCGGCCGCCGUAAAGCGAGACGGGGAAGAUGGCGGCGUGGUGUGCGGGAGGUGCGGGUAGCGCCUGGGUUCGGGGGCUCCUUGGCUGGGCGCGGCCGGAGAGGUGGUUUGCAGCUGGUAGUGUUUUCCCGCUGUCGUGCAUCCACACAAGUACAUCCCUGCAGAAACUUGGGAAGUGGGAGAAAAAGAACAGGAUUGUCUACCCUCCCCAGCUGCCUGGGGAACCUCGCAGACCAGCUGAAAUAUAUCAUUGUCGGAGGGAAAUAAAGUACAGCAAAGAUAAGAUGUGGUAUCUGGCAAAACUGAUUAAAGGAAUGUCCAUUGACCAAGCUCUUGCUCAGUUGGAAUUUAAUGAUAAAAAGGGAGCAAAGGUGAUCAAAGAGGUUCUGUUAGAGGCUCAGGAAAUGGCAGUAAGAAAACACAAUGUGGAAUUCAAAUCAAAUUUACAUAUAGCUGAGUCACUGGCAGGCAAAGGCCACUAUACAAAGCGGAUCCGUUACCAUGGGAAAGGCAUGUAUGGCAUCAUGAAAAUCGUCAAGUGCCACUACUUUGUGAAGUUGGUGGAAGGUCCUCCUCCUCCUCCAGAGCCACGAAAGACUGGUUUUGACCAAGCAAAAGAAUACGUGCAACAGCUGCGCAAUAGAACCCUUGUUCAUACACUGUGAUGAACUUUUGUGACUGUACCUGGAGUGCGUCUGUAGUUCAGCGAAUCCACGUGUUAACCUGUCUUUAAACAAGAGCACAGCAGGGAAAGCAGCCCUGAGUUACGCAGCCCUCCAGCAGGACUGGGCUCAGGGUUUGACUCAGGUCAGCACUGUGUCUGAAGGCCUUCUGGAUGGGUUAAUAUUCUGUCAGCUCAGGUACAGUGAACUUAUAGCACAGUUAUUGCAAGAAAAAGACAAACUGCAGAUAUUGAACCUUGAGCUGGAAAGGUUCGGUCGCCAGGGAUGAUCUCAACCUAGAGCUUAGGUAAUAGCAGCAGCAAAACUCUGUUGUAAUAGUAGACCUGUACCUGUGUUGUGGUUGUGUUCUGUCUGCCCUGUCCACUGGGGAAGCAUCCCAAGAUCUUGGUUUGCCAUAACCUUUUAAAAACAAUACUUGCUAAGUUUUUAUCCUGCCUGUGGCCAUUGGUGUUAGAUAAAUGUGGAACUGUGGAUGAAGACAAAUGGCACCUUCUUGACUGAGAGAUGUGGCUGGAGAAGUCUGUGUUUGAAACAGCUGGAAUUGGAGUGCCCUUAAAAGGAGAAGUUGAUUUCCAAAGUCAACAAAGAGCGGAGACAGCAUGCUGGCACAGUUUUAUGCUGGUACACCAGAGAAAGUGAGUUGGAAUAAGCAACAUGCUGCUCUAAUAAGUGCCUUCAAGUUCAUCUGAAGAGUGGACACACUCUGUGGUAUUGAAACAAAAGUCUCUUUCCUCUUCUAAACCUGGAAGAAGGUCUGCCGGAAGCAAAGGAAAUUGAGUUCUUAACCUUCUUGAAGGUGUUUGUUGCUACCUGUAGUAAUCUUGAUGGUGUUACCACCAAAGAUCCACUCCUGGCUUGGCAAGAAGGUGUCUGUGGAAAAAUAGAAACAACAGGAGAACAUGCAGCAAAGGAGGAGAAGCAAAGUGUAAGGAAAGAAACAGCCCUGGAUCAAAGCCGCAAUCCUGCAGGCUAUGGGACCUAUGUAACAUGUAGGGUGGCCCUUGUCCUGGGGUCUGAGGAGGGAUCUGGAUUGCCCAGGGAUCCAGGCUGACUGUUUUUCAACUGGUUGAAGGCUGUGACAUAACUUUCCCUUGAGAAAUAAGGUGAAAUCUGGGAGGGAAAGAGAAUGCUGGGAGGGCAAAAGUAAUGGCAAGUGCAUGGUCUACCCCCAUGACUUCCAAGUACUGAAGGGAUUUUGGCAGGGAGGUAAGAGCUGAGCAAGGGAAGUCUGGACAACCUGAUAGAUUCAGUAUUGUUCAAAGUUAAUGGCUUAUCUCUUAAAAUGUUACAGAAAAUGCAAGGAUGUUUAUGUGAUGGUUUUGGCAUAUUCUGGCAGAAAGUGCAAGUGAAGAUGUUUCCUCUAUUUGCUCUAAGCUUUUGAUUUUAGUCUGUCACUGUGGGAAAUUCACCAUAAAAAAAAAAAAGAGAAAAGGAAAGAGAGCAUGUGAAGUUCUGUUGCAAACUGUUUGUUUGUUUGUUCAGCAUGGUUUACUGCAGAAAGGAAGCUUAUUCCACCUGCACUGUUUGCAGAUAUCUCCCAGACUCCCCAGUGCUGUCAAAACCUGCUGACCAAGUUUGACAGUUGAGGACAAAUCUGGAAGACAAUGAAAUUUCUAGAAAGUCAGUGACAAGGAGAGCAGAAAUCCUAUAAGCCCCUGAAAGAGUUGUGGUGAGGUCCAGAAAAGAGACCUUAUUGUGAACCUAUUCUAGGAAAACUUUCAGCUAGAGUUCAUCUUUUGCUACAGCACCAUCAGUCACUUGACACAAACCAAAAGGAAAUUGAGCUGCAUUUUUUCUUUUUGUGCUAAUGUGGGCAAAUUCUGGACAACUAUCAGACCUAAGCAUCCUGAACAGGUAAUCCAGCUGAUUUUGGUGGGACAUCCUAUGCUGUGAAGAAGUUCACUUCAUUUGAACAGCACUCGUGCAACUGGAUUCUUUAAUUUCCCGCUGAUUCCUGGGAGUUUGUACAGUUUUGUCCAAGAGAACUGUAAGUCAAACAACAUUUCUUUAAACGCAACCAGCUGCUAGGUACAGCCAUAUAUGUAUUUUUCAUUGCUGGAUAUUUGUAUAAGGUGGUGUAUCCAUCUGUGCCAUUUUGACUGAGCUCCCUGCUGUUCAGUCUUGCUUUUGUCGGUCUCCCCAUAGAGAAACGUGUUUUGCCCGAGUGAUGUCUGCACAUUAUUGUUUUCUUCAUUGCACUCAUAUUCUUAACAUUUAUAAUUUAAAUGUCUUCAGAAAGAAUUGACAGUUGCCUUCUCCAAAGUAAAGGACAAAAUGACUUGUGUUAAUUAUUCUUUCUCACUUACUUGCUUACCAGGACAUAUAUUAUUCUGAGGCUUUUAGUGCCUUGAGCCAAAAAGGGUCAUUACAGCAAGCAGCAUAAUGACCUGACCAAAAAAUAUAAGGGAGAGAAUGAGUCUUUCUCUGUUGAACUCUCUGAAGUCAUUAAUGGAUGCCUUGGGAAUUCUACGAAGCAACAGCUCAGAAAAUAAACAGAAUUGUUCAGUGUUGGAUAUCACUCUCGUGACAUUUAUGCUAUUACAAAGAUUUACAGCUGGAAUAAUUCGAUCUAGGUUUUUCUCUUUCCCCCAUUGACUCACAUUUUGGAAGGCAGUCAGACCCUGAGAGUUGGGUUUUGCAUAAUUGAAGCACCAGAACAUAUUAAAUGGAAAGACUAAUGGGGAUGAAGCUUUCCCCUUCCUUCCAGUCUGGGUUAUCAAUUAUGAAUUAGCGGCAAUCUGAGAUCAAAGGGGUUCCAUUUUUGCAGCUGAAUUUGAAGAUUUUGGAACUGAACAGAUGAAAUGAAGUUAAUGACUCAUUUCAGGAAUGCAGAGACAGGAGUUAACUGACAAGGGUGUCGUUAAGUGUUUGCUUUAAUGCAUUUCUGAGCAUGGACAUUCUCAGAUGUAAAACAGGACACAGAUCAAGUUCCUCAUGUAACGGGAUGUUAGGACCGUGUGCCCUUUGUGGGACGUAACAGAUGCUAAUCUGAUCUGUGAUAUUCAUCUCACUGCUGUAUGUGACCUAUAUGAUAAUAUAGGAUGAUAAUACUGAGAUGUACCAUGGAAGUGCAUUAGGGUUACCAUUGUAUUAGUUACACAGUUUUUUUGCCUUAACACGAGUUCAUUGCUGCAGAGAAAACGCAUCUCUCCAGCAAGAAUAUGACACAUGCUUAAUAUGAAAAACCUAGAGGGUUGUAACUUACGAACUGCUAUGACUUUGUGGAGGGAAAUCCCAACGAACAGUCCAAGGCAGGGCAUAGCUACACACUCCCCCAAGCAGCAAACAAUAAAGCACUUCAUGAUUUAAGAUAGUAGAUCGUACCACAAAGAUUUCAGAAUCCCAAGGGCACAAACAGUAACCUUAGACUUGCUAUGCUUUCUGCAAGUACACCAGUACUCGCCAAAGCAGGCACGUGCCAAUUGCUUAAAGGAUGUUUUUUCAUUGAACUACUCUGGUUUUAUAUAAUGGGUACCCACCGUGAACCCUGUCAGGUGCUUGUGAUUAUGGGCUGAGGAGCUGGGUUUGCUCAGCAGAGAGGGAGCACUGGGAUGGGAAGCACAAGUGCUGCUUGUGAUCACAUGGGGAGGAUACAGCUGUGUGCUGGGGCCCACAGGGAGAAGAGACCAGGCAUGGGGCUUCUUUGCAGUUAGAACAAAUCUCUUCACCCCAAGGCUUGAAGGCAUCAGGAGCCCUGGCUGCAAUGAUAACAGUGAGUGACUGGAGUGAUAACACCCUGAGGAGAGAGUAUUUAGGGGGCAGAGACAGGCUGAAUGAGAGAGGUGGGCUGGGAUGAGCUUUGGGGAUUUGCAGUGGCUGUGGAGGUGUUGGGUGUACUGGAUUUAUCGCCCUUCCAUCUCCCUGGCCUCUCUGUUCUGGCACUGUUGCUAGCUAGCUGCUUCUGCUGGGGAAAUACAGCAGAAAAAGUCUGUUUCUUCAUACACUUCUAAGAAUUUUUUUUCUUUUGGCCUCAAAGUCAUCCUUUUUAAUAGGAUUUUAGAUAAAUUUCAUGGUACGUAUUACUUAUUUUGCUUGUGUAAUGGCUUGUAAGUAGGAUUUUAGAUUAAUUUAAUUUUAAUUGUUUCUUAUUUUGUUUGGAUAAUGCCUUAUAGUAAGACUUUUGAAAUUAAUGUGAACCUAUUACUAAAUUGUAAUGCAGUAAUUAUGGAAAUAAUGAAUUUAUUAUCACAAUUGUUGUGAGAAUAUGUAAGAAGGAGAUUCUAAUGACCCGACUCUCCCUUGCCUUUGCUGAUACAUCAAAAGAAAGCAUGGUCUGGAGUAUUACAUUUUAUACUCAAACAAUUUAACUUUUGGGGUAAGUUUUCAGAAGCUCGUGCUCACCUGGAAUGUCAGAGGAAUAUUCUUGUUAUGGAACAAAACUCCUUUUGUGACCAGGUUGAGUGCAGAGGACAAACUGACAAAACCAGCUUCAGCGUUUAUGCAGGAACUGCUGGUGCUGGUUUUCUUUUGUCUUAGUGACUUCAGACACUUUCUCGAGGCUUCCUAACGAAGUAUGCUUUCUUAAAUGUUGCUUCUGUUUGAUCAGGUUCUGAUUUUUCGGGGGGAAAUGUGGGAAUGCGCGUCCUGUUGCUCUGAGUUGCACAAAGCUUUAUUUACUUUUUAAACUGUUCCUGUAAUGAUAAGCACCUGGGGAUGAGGCUACCUACCUCUACAAAACAGCAAGGAGUCUCUUUAAGAUACUGUUUCAAAGUGGUUUGU